RNAcentral lists this ribosomal RNA (1368 nucleotides) under uncultured bacterium. Its description in RNAcentral is "bacterial SSU rRNA". It matches the Rfam family "Bacterial small subunit ribosomal RNA", at positions 28 to 1381 of the family's 1533-position model. The record is from RNAcentral.
GACGAACGCUGGCGGCGUGCCUAAUACAUGCAAGUAGAACGCUGAGGAGGGGAGCUUGCUCUUCUUGGAUGAGUUGCGAACGGGUGAGUAACGCGUAGGUAACCUGCCUUGUAGCGGGGGAUAACUAUUGGAAACGAUAGCUAAUACCGCAUAACAAUGGAUGACACAUGUCAUUUAUUUGAAAGGGGCAAUUGCUCCACUACAAGAUGGACCUGCGUUGUAUUAGCUAGUAGGUGAGGUAAUGACUCACCUAGGCGACGAUACAUAGCCGACCUGAGAGGGUGAUCGGCCACACUGGGACUGAGACACGGCCCAGACUCCUACGGGAGGCAGCAGUAGGGAAUCUUCGGCAAUGGGGGCAACCCUGACCGAGCAACGCCGCGUGAGUGAAGAAGGUUUUCGGAUCGUAAAGCUCUGUUGUAAGUCAAGAACGGGUGUGAGAGUGGAAAGUUCACACUGUGACGGUAGCUUACCAGAAAGGGACGGCUAACUACGUGCCAGCAGCCGCGGUAAUACGUAGGUCCCGAGCGUUGUCCGGAUUUAUUGGGCGUAAAGCGAGCGCAGGCGGUUUGAUAAGUCUGAAGUUAAGGCUGUGGCUCAACCAUAGUUCGCUUUGGAAACUGUCAAACUUGAGUGCAGAAGGGGAGAGUGGAAUUCCAUGUGUAGCGGUGAAAUGCGUAGAUAUAUGGAGGAACACCGGUGGCGAAAGCUGCUCUCUGGUCUGUAACUGACGCUGAGGCUCGAAAGCGUGGGGAGCGAACAGGAUUAGAUACCCUGGUAGUCCACGCCGUAAACGAUGAGUGCUAGGUGUUGGAUCCUUUCCGGGAUUCAGUGCCGCAGCUAACGCAUUAAGCACUCCGCCUGGGGAGUACGACCGCAAGGUUGAAACUCAAAGGAAUUGACGGGGGCCCGCACAAGCGGUGGAGCAUGUGGUUUAAUUCGAAGCAACGCGAAGAACCUUACCAGGUCUUGACAUCCCGAUGCUAUUUCUAGAGAUAGAAAGUUACUUCGGUACAUCGGUGACAGGUGGUGCAUGGUUGUCGUCAGCUCGUGUCGUGAGAUGUUGGGUUAAGUCCCGCAACGAGCGCAACCCCUAUUGUUAGUUGCCAUCAUUCAGUUGGGCACUCUAGCGAGACUGCCGGUAAUAAACCGGAGGAAGGUGGGGAUGACGUCAAAUCAUCAUGCCCCUUAUGACCUGGGCUACACACGUGCUACAAUGGUUGGUACAACGAGUUGCGAGUCGGUGACGGCGAGCUAAUCUCUUAAAGCCAAUCUCAGUUCGGAUUGUAGGCUGCAACUCGCCUACAUGAAGUCGGAAUCGCUAGUAAUCGCGGAUCAGCACGCCGCGGUGAAUACGUUCCCGGGCCU